RNAcentral lists this ribosomal RNA (457 nucleotides) under uncultured bacterium. RNAcentral describes it as "bacterial SSU rRNA". It matches the Rfam family "Bacterial small subunit ribosomal RNA", at positions 30 to 482 of the family's 1533-position model. The record is from RNAcentral.
AUUGAACGCUGGCGGCAGGCUUAACACAUGCAAGUCGAACGGUUUUGAGUACUUGUACUUAAGAUAGUGGCGAACGGGGUGAGUAAUGCCUAGGAAUCUGCCGAUUAAUGGGGGAUAACGUUCCGAAAGGAACGCUAAUACCGCAUACGCCCUACGGGGAAAGCAGGGGAUCUUCGGACCUUGCGUUAAUUGAUGAGCCUAGGUCGGAUUAGCUAGUUGGUGAGGUAAAGGCUCACCAAGGCGACGAUCUGUAGCGGGUCUGAGAGGAUGAUCCGCCACACUGGGACUGAGACACGGCCCAGACUCCUACGGGAGGCAGCAGUGGGGAAUAUUGGACAAUGGGCGGAAGCCUGAUCCAGCCAUGCCGCGUGUGUGAAGAAGGCCUUAGGUUGUAAAGCACUUUAAGCGGGAGGAGGCGUACCUGGGAUAAUACCCUGGAGUAGUGGACGUUACCCGC